AGUGAACGCUGGCGGUAGGCCUAACACAUGCAAGUCGAACGGCAGCACAGUAAGAGCUUGCUCUUACGGGUGGCGAGUGGCGGACGGGUGAGGAAUACAUCGGAAUCUACUUUUUCGUGGGGGAUAACGUAGGGAAACUUACGCUAAUACCGCAUACGACCUACGGGUGAAAGCAGGGGAUCUUCGGACCUUGCGCGAUUGAAUGAGCCGAUGUCGGAUUAGCUAGUUGGCGGGGUAAAGGCCCACCAAGGCGACGAUCCGUAGCUGGUCUGAGAGGAUGAUCAGCCACACCGGAACUGAGACACGGUCCAGACUCCUACGGGAGGCAGCAGUGGGGAAUAUUGGACAAUGGGCGCAGGCCUGAUCCAGCCAUACCGCGUGGGUGAAGAAGGCCUUCGGGUUGUAAAGCCCUUUUGUUGGGAAAGAAAAGCAGCAGGUUAAUACCCCGCUGUUCUGACGGUACCCAAAGAAUAAGCACCGGCUAACUUCGUG
RNAcentral lists this ribosomal RNA (492 nucleotides) under uncultured bacterium. Its description in RNAcentral is "partial 16S ribosomal RNA". It matches the Rfam family "Bacterial small subunit ribosomal RNA", at positions 29 to 507 of the family's 1533-position model. The record is from RNAcentral.